This 1197-nucleotide ribosomal RNA is filed under the name Azotobacter salinestris. RNAcentral's name for it is "bacterial SSU rRNA". It matches the Rfam family "Bacterial small subunit ribosomal RNA". The record is from RNAcentral. Lineage: Bacteria; Pseudomonadati; Pseudomonadota; Gammaproteobacteria; Pseudomonadales; Pseudomonadaceae.
UGAACGCUGGCGGCAGGCCUAACACAUGCAAGUCGAGCGGCAGCGGGACCUUCGGGUUGCCGGCGAGCGGCGGACGGGUGAGUAAUGCCUAGGAAUCUGCAGCCUGAUCCAGCCAUGCCGCGUGUGUGAAGAAGGUCUUCGGAUGUAAAGCACUUUAAGUCGGGAGGAAGGGCUGUAGGCGAAUACCCUGCAGUCUUGACGUUACCGACAGAAUAAGACCGGCUAACUUCGUGCCAGCAGCCGCGGUAAUACGAAGGGUGCAAGCGUUAAUCGGAAUUACUGGGCGUAAACGCGCGUAGGUGGUUUGGUAAGUUGGAUGUGAAAGCCCCGGGCUCAACCUGGGAACUGCAUCCAAAACUGCCUGCUAGAGUACGGUAGAGGGUGGUGGAAUUUCCUGUGUAGCGGUGAAAUGCGUAGAUAUAGGAAGGAACCCAGGGCGAAGGCGACCACCUGGACUGAUACUGACACUGAGGUGCGAAAGCGUGGGGAGCAAACAGGAUUAGAUACCUGGUAGUCCACGCCGUAAACGAUGUCGACUAGCCGUUGGGCUCCUUGAGAGCUUAGUGGCGCAGCUAACGCAUAAGUCGACCGCCUGGGGAGUACGGCCGCAAGGUUAAAACUCAAAUGAAUUGACGGGGGCCCGCACAAGCGGGGAGCAUGUGGUUUAAUUCGAAGCAACGCGAAGAACCUUACCUGGCCUUGACAUCCUGCGAACUGGGUAGAGAACCCGGGUGCCUUCGGGAGCGCAGAGACAGGUGCUGCAUGGCUGUCGUCAGCUCGUGUCGUGAGAUGUUGGGUAAGUCCCGUAACGAGCGCAACCCUUGUCCUUAGUUACCAGCGAUUCGGUCGGGCACUCUAAGGAGACUGCCGGUGACAAACCGGAGGAAGGUGGGGAUGACGUCAAGUCAUCAUGGCCCUUACGGCCAGGGCUACACACGUGCUACAUGGUCGGUACAGAGGGUUGCCAAGCCGCGAGGCGGAGCUAAUCCCAGAAAACCGAUCGUAGUCCGGAUCGCAUCUGCAACUCGACUGCGUGAAGUCGGAAUCGCUAGUAAUCGCGAAUCAGAAUGUCGCGGUGAAUACGUUCCCGGCCUUGUACACACCGCCCGUCACACCAUGGGAGUGGGUUGCUCCAGAAGUAGCUAGUCUAACCCUCGGGAGGAGGUUACCACGGAGUGAUUCAUGACUGGGGUGAAG